CGAGGAAUUUUGCGCAAUGGGCGAAAGCCUGACGCAGCAACGCCGCGUGGGUGAGGAAGGCCUUCGGGUCGUAAAGCCCUUUUGUCGGGGACGACAGCGACGGUACCCGACGAAGAAGCCACGGCUAACUACGUGCCAGCAGCCGCGGUAAUACGUAGGUGGCGAGCGUUGUCCGGAUUUAUUGGGCGUAAAGCGCGCGCAGGUGGUUGCUUAAGUCCGCUGUGAAAUCUCCCGGCUCAACUGGGAGGGUGCGGUGGAGACUGGGCGACUGGAGGGACCGAGAGGCCGGUGGAAUUCCCGGUGUAGUGGUGAAAUGCGUAGAGAUCGGGAGGAACACCAGUGGCGAAGGCGGCCGGCUGGGGGUACCCUGACGCUGAGGCGCGAAAGCGUGGGGAGCGAACCGGAUUAGAUACCCGCGUAGUCC
RNAcentral lists this ribosomal RNA (424 nucleotides) under uncultured bacterium. RNAcentral's name for it is "bacterial SSU rRNA". It matches the Rfam family "Bacterial small subunit ribosomal RNA", at positions 355 to 796 of the family's 1533-position model. The record is from RNAcentral.